ACUGUGAAGAUCUCGCACCAGGGUGAUGGAAAUGCUGCUGCUCUGGCUGAUCAGCAGCGUGGGUGGGAUGGGGUGCAAGUCCAGGGGUGGAGAAGGCAUUUGAAAGGCUCAGAAAGGCAAAGCCAUUGGUCUCAAGGCUUUGCUUUGAGCAUUUGGAUGUGCUCCAGAGUGGUCUACAGAGGGGAAAUGGGGCAGAAACAGAGGUUUGGUGUCUGCUGUGUUGCAGAUGGUUGAUAUACCUCAGCUAAAGCUCAGCACUUUCACUGGUGGUGGGGGGCAGAGCUCAGAGCCACAGGAGAGGAGCAGCUCUGGUCAGAGCCACAGGAGAGGAGCAGCUCUGGUCAGAGCCACAGGAUGGCAGCAGCUCUGGUCAGAGCCACAGGAGAGGAGCAGCUCUGGUCAGAGCCACAGGAUGGCAGCAGCUCUGGUCACCGUGAAGGGUCACUGACCUCCUGCAGGGCUAUUGAUUAUGGCCAUGAAAAAAAAAAAAAAAUAUCACAGUUUUGCUUUUGAAUGUUCUCUUGCAGGCCCACAACUGAAGGGUAAAGCUGACUCCCAGCUGCCGCCACUCCGGAUUUUCCACCUCGCUGCCUGGCUCUAAGAGGAAUUGAGGAGAGCGAACACGCCGUGUGGCGCUUGCCGGUGGCCUUGCGAAAGGCAGAGUUUGAUUUUUGGAGCAGCGCAAUGUCCGGGUGGAUGGAGUCCUCUCCACGUGCACCUUCCCUUUCUGAAGCUGUGCUCAGCCCGGUAUUUCAAACUGCCACCUGGGUGCCAGGGAAGCCGGUGUAUAACAACCGCGUUGCUGAAUUCAGAGUAAGAUUGAAUAACCAAGCGCGAACAAGAGCUCCGUCUCUCGAGCGCUCGAUCCUGGCUCUGAGUGAAGGCAGAGGGAAGGAAUCCACCCACUGCCAGCUGAGGAACAGCAAUGAGCUGACCCUGCCAGGCCCAGCCACACAGAAAAUACACCCUGACUGCCAGGGGCACUGCACGGGGCAGAAGGGAGAGCAGCAGCCCCGGGUGAGCAGCCACUGCCAGAGGCACUUGGUUAACCCUAACAACUAUUCUUAUAAACUUCGGCAUUGCAUUGCCCAAGUUCAUGUUCAUAAAGAUUAUACAUAUUCAAGCGAAAUUUUGAAUUUUUUUUUUUUUUUUUUUUUUCCCCCCCCCCCCCCCCCCCCCAAUUUUUAAUUUUUUUUUUUUUUUUUUUUUUUACACGUUCUGGGAGUUCUUUUUCUUGGUUCGACCCAUCGAGCAGGUGCAGAAAUCAUGAUAUUUGAAGGGUUAAGGGCCCUCUUCACAUCCACUCUUCAAAUAUUAUCUGACCACAUGGGUGAUUUUAACCACUUUAAACCAACAUCAGCUAUUUCGCAAAUAUGUCUGAGUCACUCUCAUUAUUUUCAGUUAGUUCUGCAAAAGUUAACGUUACAAUGCACAGAAAUUAGAUCCACUUUAAUAUUUUUUGAAAGCCAAAACUACAACAUGCAUCCAUCACACUGUCCACAAACUAAAAUAUCAUCCAUAAAUUAUGUUCUGAGGAUAGGAGCUAGACAGGGGGGCCAGGAUGGCCACAAAAAGCUGACAAAUUAAACUAUUUCAAAAGCAGUUAAAAGUGAUUACAAACUCUACUGUAUCAAAAUUGCUGUGAUUAAUGAUCAUUUGCCAGAACCAAUAGAUAACAGCCAACAACUACAUAGUUGUUUACAACUUUGGCUUCAACCAGGAGGGGAAAAAAGAAAACCACCAAAAAAAACCCCACAAAUAAAACAAAGCAAAACAAAACAACAAAGCGAAACAAAAGAAAAGCAAAAACAAAAAAACAUGUUAGUUAAGUAGGUCUGGGUUUUUAAGAGACUCAGGUUUCCUUGCUCUCAGAAAAGGCAAAAAAAAAUCCUGUUUGUGAAAAGUUGGAGGCUUCCUUUCACGACAUUGUCGAUGAAAUCUCGAUUGGGUUCGGUUCUCUGUAACUUAAACUACAGAAAAAAGUUCUCCUCAUAAGAGAGGUUCUGUAACUGGCUCGCAUCUCCCCACCAAGGACGCCCCAGGCCUGGCACUGUCCCAAAUCCAGAUUUCUGUGCAUUCUGCGGAGUGACAAAACGCACGGUUUAAAUCCUUGGUGAAGGAUUCCCGCCCUCUUUGCAGAGGUUUCCAAAUUUGAGUGACGGAGUUAGAAUCACCGGUGUGUAGUUAAAUAGAAGUGUGUGGUUUCACACGGUGAAGAGUUUGCUGUUUGGGGUUUUAAAAUACGAUAAUAGGUGUGGGAGCAAGGUGAAGCCUCUUGGGCAUUGUCUCUUUCUUCCUUCUUGCUCCUGCUUCUUAAUUUCUGGCGGGAGUUUUGGUUGGAUAGUUAGUGCUGCACCGCGGGUCACAGGAGUUUGGUUAUCGGGGCAAAAGUAUAAAUAAUACAGGUGUUAGUUUUUAAUUGGAUAAUUAGGUUUUCAAAGACCUCGUGACUAGCUAGAGUCGUUUUCAUUUUUUGCUCGCUUUUAGCAGGUAGCUAGAAGACGCCGCAGAACCCUCUUAGGUGAGAUUUGAUAAACGGCCAAGCCUGAGCAAGAGAUCCGCCUCUGGAGGGUUCAAUCCUGGCUCUGAGCGAAGGCGGGAAGAGCAGCAGGCUGUCAAACAAAGCCCUCAGCCCCGCGCUCGUCAGCUCCCUGCUCACUUUGGGGAGAUCGCGUCGCUUCGCUCCGGCUGGGAUUUGCCGGUCAGCCCGGCGCAGGGCGACGCUAAGCGGGGCUUAGCGGGUCUCUCCGGCAGGUCUGAAACGCCAAUCUUAGGAAGGUAGGGUUUUAGGUUACCUGGCUGAAAACAGAAGUCAGGAGGGGGUAGUUAUCCGAAACUUAAAUAAUUGAUUGUCGUUUCGUGUUUGCUUACCUGCGCUGACAGUGGGAAAAGAAGAAACCAGGAACAUGGACAAUGCAACCAGAAACCCAUUCUUUGGAAAACUGGACUAUGCCCAGAAAUCAUUUGUAUUGUCAGUGAUAGAAAAGGCCAGGAGUUCAGGGUGAGGAAGACUCGCCUUACUUCCUCCUUUUAAGACCCCUCCCCACCAAAACGACCCCAGACUUAAUUUAAGAAGUCAAUCGCGCAGCCUAAUAGCUAUUCUAGGUAAUUACCACAGGAAGGAUGGGAGGGGCUGUUAUUAUGAAUAUGUAUCUGUUUGAACCCUCUGCUAAUUAAUAGACUCUGUGAUCACCUGUGAUUUCGCAGUGUGUAUUAGAGGAUCGCCUCACGCUGCUGCCCAGCGCUGAGUAAACACACACUCUCUUUGGAAAACUGGACUAUGCCCAGAAAUCAUCUGUAUUGUCAGUGGUAGAAAAGGCCAGGAGUUCAGAGUAAAGAAGACUCGCCUUACUUCCUCCUUUUAAGACCCCUCCCCACCAAAACGACCCCAGACUUAAUUUAAGAAGUCAAUCGCGCAGCCUAAUAGCUAUUCUAGGUAAUUACCACAGGAAGGAUGGGAGGGGCUGUUAUUAUGAAUAUGUAUCUGUUUGAACCCUCUGCUAAUUAAUAGACUGUGUGAUCACCUGUGAUUUCGCAGUGUGUAUUAGAGGAUCGCCUCACGCUGCUGCCCAGCGCUGAGUAAACACACACUCUGUAACUCUAAACUGUUAGAGAGUCUUUCGUCAGUCGCAGUUGAGUACCGGUGCUGGACCAACACUCGUAUUUUGGCAGUUCAGGUCGCUCUGUCGUUUCUGCGGCUCUGCACGGAGCGUUCCCAGCAGAGAGCUGGUCCAGCCUGGGGGCUGGCCGGCAGCGGGGUGUUCUCGGAUCAAAGCAGAGCAGGAGCGCCCUUGGAGCGCGCCCGGGCUGGCGGCACCGGUUCGGUCACUGCCGGGCUCGACCCGGUUCUGCGCGGUCCGUUCACAAACUGCGGUACCACGCACAGCCCGCUAGGGGAGAGACCGCAAAGCGCCGAUUUCCAGACCUCAAACCCGGGCGCAGCCCUUAAACCGGACCCUGCCGGUGGGGUUAGGCUCCCUCCCUGCGGUCCGAACCUGCUUCCAGCCGAACCGAGCUCAGCGGGACCGCGGCGCCGGCGAACCCACGGCGGGUUCAGCGGUCCUGGCGCUUUUUUAAUCGGGAGCGAAAGCUGUCUCGGCACCUCCCGAGCCGUCAGAAG
RNAcentral lists this long non-coding RNA (4120 nucleotides) under Ficedula albicollis (Collared flycatcher). Its description in RNAcentral is "lncRNA (ENSFALG00000025418.1)". Lineage: Eukaryota; Metazoa; Chordata; Aves; Passeriformes; Muscicapidae. The record is from RNAcentral.